CUUGCUUCUCUGAUGUUAGCGGCGGACGGGUGAGUAACACGUGGAUAACCUACCUAUAAGACUGGGAUAACUUCGGGAAACCGGAGCUAAUACCGGAUAAUAUUUUGAACCGCAUGGUUCAAAAGUGAAAGACGGUCUUGCUGUCACUUAUAGAUGGAUCCGCGCUGCAUUAGCUAGUUGGUAAGGUAACGGCUUACCAAGGCAACGAUGCAUAGCCGACCUGAGAGGGUGAUCGGCCACACUGGAACUGAGACACGGUCCAGACUCCUACGGGAGGCAGCAGUAGGGAAUCUUCCGCAAUGGGCGAAAGCCUGACGGAGCAACGCCGCGUGAGUGAUGAAGGUCUUCGGAUCGUAAAACUCUGUUAUUAGGGAAGAACAUAUGUGUAAGUAACUGUGCACAUCUUGACGGUACCUAAUCAGAAAGCCACGGCUAACUACGUGCCAGCAGCCGCGGUAAUACGUAGGUGGCAAGCGUUAUCCGGAAUUAUUGGGCGUAAAGCGCGCGUAGGCGGUUUUUUAAGUCUGAUGUGAAAGCCCACGGCUCAACCGUGGAGGGUCAUUGGAAACUGGAAAACUUGAGUGCAGAAAAAGAAAGUGGAAUUCCAUGUGUAGCGGUGAAAUGCGCAGAGAUAUGGAGGAACACCAGUGGCGAAGGCGACUUUCU
RNAcentral lists this ribosomal RNA (666 nucleotides) under Staphylococcus aureus. Its description in RNAcentral is "bacterial SSU rRNA". It matches the Rfam family "Bacterial small subunit ribosomal RNA", at positions 79 to 730 of the family's 1533-position model. The record is from RNAcentral. Lineage: Bacteria; Bacillati; Bacillota; Bacilli; Caryophanales; Staphylococcaceae.